GACGAACGCUGGCGGCGUGCCUAACACAUGCAAGUCGAACGGGACCAGGGGCAACUCUGGUUCAGUGGCGGACGGGUGCGUAACACGUGAGGAACAUGACCUUCGGCGGGGAUAGCCGGCCCAACGGCCGGGUAAUACCGCGUACGACCACAUGGGGACAUCCCUGAGUGGUGAAAGCAGCAAUUGCGCCGAUGGAGUGCCUCGCGGCCUAAUCAGCUAGUUGGUGAGGUAAUGGCUCACCAAGGCGACGAUCCUUAGCUGGUCUGAGAGGACGACCAGCCACACUGGGACUGAGACACGGCCCAGACUCCUACGGGUGGCUG
This 323-nucleotide ribosomal RNA is filed under the name uncultured bacterium. Its description in RNAcentral is "bacterial SSU rRNA". It matches the Rfam family "Bacterial small subunit ribosomal RNA", at positions 28 to 351 of the family's 1533-position model. The record is from RNAcentral.